This 1230-nucleotide long non-coding RNA is filed under the name Crocodylus porosus (Australian saltwater crocodile). RNAcentral describes it as "lncRNA (ENSCPRG00005010801.1)". Lineage: Eukaryota; Metazoa; Chordata; Crocodylia; Crocodylidae. The record is from RNAcentral.
AUGCACCCGCGCUUUGGCCAGGACCGGCGCCUGCUGCAAGAUUUCUGCCCACCCAGCCACACCCAGAGCCGCCCGCCUGCUGCCACCCACAGCUCAGCCUCGCGGCGGGGCUGCCACCUGCAAGGACGUGUUGCGGAGGCGCUGGCUGGGUGCACCCGCGCUUUGGCCAGGACCGGCGCCUGCUGCAAGAUUUCUGCCCACCCAGCCACACCCAGAGCCGCGCCGACGGCCGCCCGCGCUGGCCCCGGUCUGGGGGGGCCGGGAGGGGACGCGCAGCAGUCUCGCCCUCCCUCCCUCCCGCCCCCCGGUGCCACGCCAAGGCACCGGGCGUGCGGGGUGGAGGCGCCAGGAGCCCGCGCUGGGGCUGGGCUGACUCCCACUCCCGCGCGCUCCGCUCUAAGUCUUUCUCGCCCCGCUUCGAGCGUGCUUUGGCCUGCCGGAUCCACUGCCGCGGGGCGCGCGUCGGACCAAGUGGCGCCGGGCUUGUUCAGCCAAAGCCGCUUGUCUCCUGUAACCCAAAGCGACGUGGCGCGGGUUGGCCUUCAGGGGUGGCAGCUCGGUGCCCAGGGGUUUCCAGGCUGGAGACCGGCCCCCCUAUGCCUGACCUGUGCUCUAGCUUCCCCUGUACACAGCGCACAGCACACCUCAUGCCCGCUCUGCCCGGCCGCGCGGGGCAGGAUGCUACCAGGCCACGCUCAGGAGUGUGCGGGGGGCAGCCCUGCUCUUCCCCGCCCCUGGAAGCCCUUCUGCCAGGCCGACGUGCCCCCCGUCCGAGCGAGGCGUGGGGCGGGUUGCCCUGCUCUGCGCGCCGGGCAGUCGGAGGAGUGCGAGGGCUGGAGCAGGGGGGUGGGGACCUCAGAGCUGGGGCCCGGUUCGAAGCAGGGGUCUCAGAGGCCCCCGCCACGGGCACGAGUGACAGCACGUGCAGCCAGGCGGACGUCACGGAUGCAUCAUCGGAAACCCCUGGCGCUGGCUCCGCGCGGUCCUGGGGGCCGUCUUCCCAAGCUAUCCCUUGCGUUGCUGCCUCCCCGACCCUGCUCUCCCCAAGCCAGAAAGCUGGGAAAGUACGUCCUGGUGCUCCCCGGGCGUUGGGGAGGGAGAAGCUGCCGGGUCUCCUUUUCCCAGUGCAGGGAUUCGCUCCCCAUGGGCCCCCGGCAGAGCCGAGCAGCCCUGGUCGCAGCCCCCCCGGGCAGACCUUCCAGCCCGGCUGCUCCGCGGGCCCUGCCGUGA